RNAcentral lists this ribosomal RNA (468 nucleotides) under uncultured bacterium. RNAcentral describes it as "partial 16S ribosomal RNA". It matches the Rfam family "Bacterial small subunit ribosomal RNA", at positions 28 to 507 of the family's 1533-position model. The record is from RNAcentral.
GAUGAACGCUGGCGGCGUGCUUAACACAUGCAAGUCGAACGGACAGAUCCGGCGCUUGCUCCUUGCACGUGAGCGGCGCGCGUGUGAGUAACACGUGUAUCCCCUCCCUGUAAGACUGGUAUCACUUCGAGACACCGGAUCUAAUACCAUAUAACCUCUAGCACCGCAUGGUUGUAUGGAGAGUUAGGGCGGUGGGGGCUCGACUCGCGGCUUAUCCGCUUGUUGGUGGGGUAGUGGCGUACCAAGGCUAUGACGGGUAGCCGGCCUGGGAGGGGGACCGGCCACAAUGGGACUGAGAUACGGCCCAGACGCCUACGGGAGGCAGCAGUGGGGAAUAUUGCGCAAUGGGCGGAAGCCUGAUGCAGCAACGCCGCGUGCGGGAUGACGGCCUUCGGGUUGUAAACCGCUUUCGCCUGUGACGAAGCGUGAGUGACGGUAAUGGGUAAAGAAGCACCGGCUAACUACGUG